This 475-nucleotide ribosomal RNA is filed under the name uncultured bacterium. RNAcentral describes it as "bacterial SSU rRNA". It matches the Rfam family "Bacterial small subunit ribosomal RNA", at positions 29 to 507 of the family's 1533-position model. The record is from RNAcentral.
AAUGAACGUUGGCGGCAUGGAUUAGGCAUGCAAGUCGCACGAGAACCCAAUUAGCUUGCUAUGAGGGGGACAGUGGCGAAAGGGAGAGUAACGCGUGGUUAUGUACCUUCGAGACCGGGAUAGUGUCGGGAAACUGGCAGUAAUACCGGAUAACAUCUUCGGAUCAAAUGGUGUGAUUCCGCUCGAAGAUCGGACCGCGUACUAUUAGCUUGUUGGUGAGGUAAUGGCUCACCAAGGCUGCGAUGGUUACCGGGUGUGAGAGCAUGGCCCGGCUCACUGGGACUGAGACACUGCCCAGACAUCUACGGAUGGCUGCAGUCGAGAAUCUUCGGCAAUGGACGAAAGUCUGACCGAGCGAUGCCGCGUGCGGGAUGAAGGCCCUCGGGUUGUAAACCGCUGUCAGUUGUUAGGAAAUCUAUAGGGGUUCUCUCCUAUGGUUGACCGAUCUUCAGAGGAAGGACGGGCUAAGUUCGUG